RNAcentral lists this ribosomal RNA (253 nucleotides) under uncultured bacterium. Its description in RNAcentral is "partial 16S ribosomal RNA". It matches the Rfam family "Bacterial small subunit ribosomal RNA", at positions 524 to 776 of the family's 1533-position model. The record is from RNAcentral.
GACAGAGGUGCCGAGCGUUAGGCGGAAUCACUGGGCUUAAAGCGUGUGUAGGCGGAUGCCUAAGUACCUUGUGAAAUCCCACGGCUCAACCGUGGAACUGCUUGGUAUACUGGGUGUCUUGAGCUAUCUAGGGGCAACUGGAACAAACGGUGGAGCGGUGAAAUGCGUAGAUAUCGUUUGGAACGCCAAUGGUGAAAACAGGUUGCUGGGGAUAUGCUGACGCUGAGACGCGAAAGCCAGGGGAGCAAACGGG